AUUGAACGCUGGCGGCAUGCUUUACACAUGCAAGUCGAACGGCAGCACGGGGGCAACCCUGGUGGCGAGUGGCGAACGGGUGAGUAAUGCAUCGGAACGCGUCCUGUAAUGGGGGAUAACCUACCGAAAGGUAGGCUAAUACCGCAUACGUCCUUAGGGAGAAAGCGGGGGAUCGUAAGACCUCGUGUUAUAGGAGCGGCCGAUGUCGGAUUAGCUAGUUGGUGGGGUAAAGGCCUACCAAGGCGACGAUCCGUAGCGGGUCUGAGAGGACGGCCCGCCACACUGGGACUGAGACACGGCCCAGACUCCUACGGGAGGCAGCAGUGGGGAAUUUUGGACAAUGGGGGCAACCCUGAUCCAGCGAUGCCGCGUGAGUGAUGAAGG
This 384-nucleotide ribosomal RNA is filed under the name uncultured bacterium. RNAcentral describes it as "bacterial SSU rRNA". It matches the Rfam family "Bacterial small subunit ribosomal RNA", at positions 29 to 414 of the family's 1533-position model. The record is from RNAcentral.